This 371-nucleotide ribosomal RNA is filed under the name uncultured bacterium. Its description in RNAcentral is "partial 16S ribosomal RNA". It matches the Rfam family "Bacterial small subunit ribosomal RNA", at positions 338 to 701 of the family's 1533-position model. The record is from RNAcentral.
CCUACGGGAGGCAGCAGUAGGGAAUCUUCCACAAUGGACGAAAGUCUGAUGGAGCAACGCCGCGUGAGUGAAGAAGGGUUUCGGCUCGUAAAGCUCUGUUGGUAGGGAAGAAAGAUAGAGGUAGUAACUGGCCUUUAGUUGACGGUAAUGACGGAGAAAGGCACGGCUAACUACGUGCCAGCAGCCGCGGUAAGACGUAGGUGGCAAGCGUUGUCCGGAUUUAUUGGGCGGAAAGCGAGUGCAGGCGGUUCAAUAAGUCUGAGGGGAAAGCCUUCGGCUCAACCGGAGAAUUGCAUCAGAAACUUUUGAACUUGAGUGCAGCAGAGGCGAGUGGAACUCCAUGUGUCGCGGUGGAAUGCGUAGAUAUAUGG